GCUGUGCCUCAAUGGUAGAGCCUCUGUUUUGCAAGCAGAAGGUCCCAGGUUCAGUCCUCGGCAACUCCA
RNAcentral lists this transfer RNA (69 nucleotides) under Sphaerodactylus townsendi. RNAcentral's name for it is "tRNA-Ala". It matches the Rfam family "tRNA". Rfam says of the family: Transfer RNA (tRNA) molecules are approximately 80 nucleotides in length. Their secondary structure includes four short double-helical elements and three loops (D, anti-codon, and T loops). Further hydrogen bonds mediate the characteristic L-shaped molecular structure. tRNAs have two regions of fundamental functional importance: the anti-codon, which is responsible for specific mRNA codon recognition, and the 3' end, to which the tRNAs corresponding amino acid is attached (by aminoacyl-tRNA synthetases). tRNAs cope with the degeneracy of the genetic code in two manners: having more than one tRNA (with a specific anti-codon) for a particular amino acid; and 'wobble' base-pairing, i.e. permitting non-standard base-pairing at the 3rd anti-codon position. Lineage: Eukaryota; Metazoa; Chordata; Lepidosauria; Squamata; Sphaerodactylidae. The record is from RNAcentral.